CCAGACUCCUACGGGAGGCAGCAGUGAGGAAUAUUGGUCAAUGGGCGCAAGCCUGAACCAGCCAAGUCGCGUGAGGGAAGACGGCCCUACGGGUUGUAAACCUCUUUUGCCGGGGAGCAAGCCUGAGCACGUGUGCCCAGGCGGAGAGUACCCGGAGAAAAAGCAUCGGCUAACUCCGUGCCAGCAGCCGCGGUAAUACGGAGGAUGCGAGCGUUAUCCGGAUUUAUUGGGUUUAAAGGGUGCGUAGGCGGACGCUUAAGUCAGCGGUAAAAUCGCGGGGCUCAACCUCGCUCCGCCGUUGAAACUGGCAGUCUCGAGUUGGAGAGAAGUAUGCGGAAUGCGCGGUGUAGCGGUGAAAUGCAUAGAUAUCGCGCAGAACUCCGAUUGCGAAGGCAGCAUGCUGGCUCCACACUGACGCUGAGGCACGAAAGCGUGGGUAUCGAACAGGAUUAGAUACCCUUGUAC
RNAcentral lists this ribosomal RNA (465 nucleotides) under uncultured bacterium. RNAcentral's name for it is "bacterial SSU rRNA". It matches the Rfam family "Bacterial small subunit ribosomal RNA", at positions 331 to 793 of the family's 1533-position model. The record is from RNAcentral.